GUAAUUCUGAAUAUAUUUUUUAAACUGCCACAUACCCAUUAGGAAAAAAUACUUUGACGUAUUGUAUGCCUGAAAUGAGGAAGUUGUGUUCACAAGCCAUCUUGCUUCUGUCUCAUGAAUGCUGUUCUGCUUGCUUGUGAGAUUUGAUGCUGUCUAGCAGACUUAUUUAUGCCUUUGAUUAUAGUGCUGUCUCUCAGCUUGUCAUAUAAAUUUAAUUGUGAUGGUACCGUGGUUGUCGUCGUUUGAAAUUAUGGACUUGUUCACAUAGGCGAAAGUGAUCCUUCACAAGGCCUGAUGAUGUGCACAGAUGUUUUGGCAGCUGCUGAGACCACACCUGCUUCCAUUUGUGUGCAGAGGGACCUGACCCUUUACAUGUCAGCUGCAGGUGUUGGAGCCCAUUCAUUUGAAG
RNAcentral lists this long non-coding RNA (409 nucleotides) under Cyanistes caeruleus (blue tit). RNAcentral's name for it is "lncRNA (ENSCCEG00000001556.1)". Lineage: Eukaryota; Metazoa; Chordata; Aves; Passeriformes; Paridae. The record is from RNAcentral.